Molecule: ribosomal RNA, 119 nt
Filed under: Eucalyptus grandis
Lineage: Eukaryota; Viridiplantae; Streptophyta; Magnoliopsida; Myrtales; Myrtaceae
Source: RNAcentral
GGGUGCGAUCAUACCAGCACUAAUGCACCGGAUCCCAUCAGAACUCCGAAGUUAAUCGUGCUUGGGCGAGAGGGGUACUAGGUUGUGUGACCUCCUGUGAAGUCCUCGUGUUGCACCCC